This is a non-coding RNA of Solanum lycopersicum (tomato), 2553 nucleotides long. The record is from RefSeq and is a predicted model, not a curated record. NCBI's taxonomy places the organism in Eukaryota, Viridiplantae, Streptophyta, Magnoliopsida, Solanales, Solanaceae.
AGUGAGUAUCAUAUAUAUAUAUAUAUACACACACAUCAUUUGAACCUUUUGUAAGGUUAUGUUCAUUUUCAUCUGCUUACCUCCAAGAACAAGAAGAUUACCAAAUUCAUCUGUUUUUUGGUUGUUGUUUAAUAUUUCCUCUGAUUGGAAUUUGUUUCUUUGGUUACUGAACUUGGGUUUUAGGGUUCUUAUUUUUGGGAGUUGUUAAGUACGUGGAUUUACGUUGAAGUUGCAAGGAGAACUCGGCGGAUGCUAUUAAAUUUCCUUGGAUGAGGUGGAUCUCGAUCAAUUUAGGGUUGAUUUUUUCUUCAAUGGUGCAAGAAAAGGCAGGGAAUGUCCACCACAAAAAACCCUCUAUAUAUUUGCUUUAAAAUGGAUUGCAGUCAUCAGGUCAGGAUUGUUUCUUUUUUUGGGUAGGCAAACUUCUUGAACAAUCUGAUGCUAUUCGAGGUUAUCACGAAAACACUCUGUUCCCUCAUAUGGUAAAUUCAGACUUGCACAGACAUUAUUUUCUGUUCAAUGGUCACUAUUUUUUGAAUGUUCACAUGCAUCAAUUUCUGUUGAAUAGUUACUAUUUGUGAAUGUUUCAGUUCCAGAGGUUUAUCUACUGCAACAUUAGAAUUAUUUCAUACGGUCUUGUUGUGCAGCACUUAAUACCUAUUCCAACACUUUAUUUAGUGUGUUCUAUUAUCUAUGUUUAUUUUCAUUCUUGACGGUUUCCUUUUGGUAUUAAAAGUAAUGCAAGUUCAAAUGAUGAAUGCUUUCUAGCUAGAAAUCCUGAACUCUCGGGUUGGCCUCCAGGAAGAUUGCCUGUCCCUAUUUCCACAUCACCAAUUUUGCAAACACUCUCAAUGUCAGGAUCAAUUGUUACUGCCCAUUUGAAGAACUGUCUAGUUUAUCCAAAUCUCAGUAUCUCAGUUCCACACAACAACAAGAGUUAACAGUUGAAUACAUUGAGGAUUUUGAUGACGAUGAUGAUCUAGAUGAACUUGACAGUCAAAGGUUUUCAAGAAGAGUUCCAAUGCUGCUGGUGAUCUUGUGCUUGGAUUGCCGUUAUUUGCUACUGAUUCCAUUAUCUUCUUUCAAAAUGUAUUCUUUUCUUGCUUUUACGUGGAUGGAUGGGAGAUACUUGUACUUCAGGCUGUAUUUCUUCCUAGCUAUUGGCGAUGAUCAUCUCCGUGAAACAGCAUAUGAGUUCCUUCUUGAUGCUGCUGGACCUUCAGAUGCAUGGAGGCCUCAUUGUACCAUCGAAGGAAAUAAAGAAGGAGAAGACAUCUAGAUUAAUGACGAAGCUGGGCUGUAGUAAGAGUGACAAUGCAAUGACCCAGUCACAACAUUUAUCUGUAUUGGUCAGUUUGUUGGAGACAAUGCGUGUCCAGAUGGAGUUCAGUUAAACAUGUUGGAGGAGGGGCUUAUAAAUCAUUCUGCUACAGGGUUGGGGAAGCUGGGAUAAAAGCACAUGAGCGAAGGGUUCCUUUAGCUAAGAUAGAGGAAUCUGAGUUGAACUUCAGUACUCUUUUAUUCAGCUUCAACUCAGAGUGUGGGGGGCUAAGGAUUUGAAGGCAGUGGGUGCACAUGCUUUAACAUACACUGCAUCUCCGACUAUUGGAGGUUCAUUAUCUGUUGAGUUGCGAAUUGUCUGUCCCUGGCCCCUCGGGGGGUUUCAUGUUUGAAAAAAGUCUUUUCCUCCUCUUGCAGCAGAGAUGCAAAGGACAAUGUUUAAAAUCUUUGAGAGAGAUCGCUGUGCCACUGGCAGAAAGGCCAGCUGGAGGUGACUUAACUGGUGAAGUAUGUCACCGGGCUGAUAAUUAUCACCGGAAUGUCAAAUUAUACGAGAAUCUACUUCUCAAUGUUUUUGAUGUUUAGAUGAGGGAAAGCUCACAGAGGAAGUUAAAGAAAUUUUGGAGCUUCUUAAGUCCACAUGGCGUAAUUUGGGAAUCACAGAAACCAUCCACUACACUUGCUAUGCUUGGGUAUUAUUUUGACAGGUCGGGAGUCGAAAAUACACUGAUAUACAGCGAUAUACAUCAGCUGUAUAAAUGGGCCCAAAAAGCCCCCGUUUGUAUUUUGCUACUUUGGGCCUUAAGCCCCUUCGUCUUUUUAUUAUUAUUUGUUAGACUAGGAUAGGUGGAGAAUUGGGCCUAAAGCCCACUAAAAUAUCAAAUUUAUGUGUUAGUUUAGGACAGGUCGGGAGCCGAUUAUACACUGAUAUAUAGCGACAUACAUCAGCCGUAUAUUGCGUAUUGCAGCACAAAUGGGCCCAAAAGCCUCCAAAAUUUCAGAAAUUGUAUUUUGUUACUUUGGGCGUAAGCCCCUUUGUCUUUUACUAUUUUUUGUUAGACUAGGACAGUUGGAGGACUGGGCUAAAGCCCACUAAAAACUCACACUGAUGUGUUAGUUUAGGACAGGUCCGGAGCCGAAAAAUACACUGAUAUACAGCGAUAUACAUCAGCCAUAUAUGGGGCCCAAAAAGUCCCAAAAUUUCAGAAAUUGUAUUUUGUUACUUUGGGCCUAAGCCCUUUUGUCUUUUUAUUAUUAUUUGUUAGACUAGGA